UCCCCCAGAAAAAGUUCUAAAGACUCACCGACUCCAAAUAGAAAGAGUAGCACUUUACUGACAAUUUACUUUUUAAUUAACAUGCAUUGAAAGGUACUAUCAUAGUACAAAUUCGUUUUUUUAAUCUGUGCCGCUAAUUAUUUUCUAUUCUGCAAGCACUACGUGGAACCCAUACACACAGGUAAGAUUUUCCUAGAAAUUGAAGAGAAGUUGACAACAAAGAACAAUGAAGUGGCACGUAGUCAUUUGUUCCUGUUCACAACAAGCACUACGUGGAACCCAUACACACAGGUAAGAUUUUCCUAGAAAUUGAAGAGAAGUUGACAACAAAGAACAAUGAAGUGGCACGUAGUCAUUUGUUCCUGUUCACAACAACAGAAUUGUUGAAAAGAAGAGAUUUAUAGUUCUGAAGAAGUCACGUACCA
Molecule: long non-coding RNA, 425 nt
Filed under: Sorghum bicolor (sorghum)
Lineage: Eukaryota; Viridiplantae; Streptophyta; Magnoliopsida; Poales; Poaceae
Description: long non-coding RNA (SBIC_LNC005610)
Source: RNAcentral